This 481-nucleotide ribosomal RNA is filed under the name uncultured soil bacterium. RNAcentral describes it as "bacterial SSU rRNA". It matches the Rfam family "Bacterial small subunit ribosomal RNA", at positions 26 to 511 of the family's 1533-position model. The record is from RNAcentral.
AGGACGAACGCUGGCGGCGUGCCUAACACAUGCAAGUCGAGCGAGGUCCAACUGGGGGGCAACCCCAGGGAAGACCUAGCGGCGAACGGGUGAGUAACACGUGAGGAACCUGCCCUGGAGUGCAGGAUAACUCGGGGAAACCCGGGCUAAUACUGCAUACCUUCUUCGAGCGGCAUCGUUUGAAGAAGAAAGAAUCUCGCUCCGGGAGGGUCUCGCGGCCUAUCAGCUUGUUGGUGGGUAACGCCUACCAAGGCAGCGACGGGUAGCUGGUCUGAGAGGACGAUCAGCCACACUGGGACUGAGACACGGGCCCAGACUCCUACGGGAGGCAGCAGUGGGAAUUUGCGCAAUGGGCGAAAGCCUGACGCAGCAACGCCGCGUGCGGGAGAAGGCCCUCGGGUUGUAAACCGCUUUACGAGUCGAAGGAACGAAACGUGACGGUACCUGACUAGAAGACGACCCGACGAACGUACGUGACCAG